Molecule: unclassified non-coding RNA, 348 nt
Filed under: soil metagenome
Description: partial contains 5.8S ribosomal RNA, internal transcribed spacer 2, and large subunit ribosomal RNA
Rfam family: 5.8S ribosomal RNA (bases 1-121)
Source: RNAcentral
GAUGAAGAACGUAGCGAGAUGCGAUAAGUAAUUCGAAUUGCAGAAUUUCCGUGAGUCAUCGAAUCUUUGAACGCACAUUGCGCCCACUGGUAUUCCGGUGGGCAUGCCUGUUCGAGCGUCAUUAUCCUCCCUCAAACCUCGGGUUUGGUGUUGGACCCAAGUUGUGUGAACAACUGGUCUCAAAGACAAUGACGGCGUCCGUGGGACCCUCGGUGCAACGAGCUUUUAAACGAGCACGCGUCGAGUUUCAAGGACCUUCCGGGCCGGUCUCCUUCUUUUAUUUACAAAGGUUGACCUCGGAUCAGGUAGGAAUACCCGCUGAACUUAAGCAUAUCAAUAAGCGGAGGA